This 230-nucleotide ribosomal RNA is filed under the name uncultured bacterium. RNAcentral describes it as "partial 16S ribosomal RNA". It matches the Rfam family "Bacterial small subunit ribosomal RNA", at positions 118 to 350 of the family's 1533-position model. The record is from RNAcentral.
UGAGCAACCUGCCCUUAGCUCUGGGAUAACCCCGGGAAACCGGGGCUAAUACCGGAUACGAGUCCGAGCGGCAUCACGCGGACUGGAAAGUUUUUCGGCUAAGGAUGGGCUCGCGGCCUAUCAGCUUGUUGGUGGGGUAAUGGCCUACCAAGGCGACGACGGGUAGCCGGCCUGAGAGGGUGACCGGCCACACUGGGACUGAGACACGGCCCAGACUCCUACGGGAGGCA